UCGAGAAUAUUUGACAAUGGGCGAAAGCCUGAUCGAGCGACGCCGCGUGCUGGACGAAGUGCUUCGGUACGUAAACAGCUUUUAUCGGGGACGAAAUUAUUGACGGUACCCGAUGAAUAAGGGGCUCCUAACUCUGUGCCAGCAGGAGCGGUAAUACAGAGGCCCCAAGCAUUAUCCGGAAUCACUGGGCGUAAAGGGUGUCAUAGGCGGUCAUGUUAGUCGUUCGUAAAAUCCGCGCGCUUAACGUGCGGCUCGCGAACGAAACGGCAUGACUUGAGGUGAGGAGAGGUGCGUGGAACUCACGGUGUAGGGGUGAAAUCCGUUGAUAUCGUGGGGAACACCAAAGGCGAAGGCAGCGCACUGGCCUCAAUCUGACGCUCACACACGAAAGCCAGGGGAGCGAACGGGAUUAGAUACCCCGGUAGUCC
RNAcentral lists this ribosomal RNA (428 nucleotides) under uncultured bacterium. RNAcentral describes it as "bacterial SSU rRNA". It matches the Rfam family "Bacterial small subunit ribosomal RNA", at positions 355 to 796 of the family's 1533-position model. The record is from RNAcentral.